Molecule: non-coding RNA, 90 nt
Filed under: uncultured Anaeromassilibacillus sp.
Lineage: Bacteria; Bacillati; Bacillota; Clostridia; Eubacteriales; Acutalibacteraceae
Description: yjdF RNA
Rfam family: azaaromatic riboswitch aptamer (yjdF RNA)
Source: RNAcentral
GCAAGGAUAAAAACACAGUGCGGUUGGUAGUCCGUGCGCUGGAAUUUCCAGUCAGUAACCCUCCCUCCCAUGGGUCGUCCGUUCUUUGCA